GCUGGGCGCGGGGUCGCGCACCUGUAGUCCCAGCUACUUGGGAGGCUGAGGCCGGAGAAUCGCUUGAGUCCAGGAGUUCUGGGCUGUCGUGCGCUAUGCCAAUCAGGUGUCUGCACUAAGUUCGGAACCAAUAUGGUGACCUCCCGGGAGCGGGGGACCACCAGGUUGUCUAAGGAGGGGUGAACUGGCCCAGGUUGGAAAUGGAGCAGGUCAAAUCUCCUGUGCUGAUCAAUAAUACAAAUAUGUAUGGAUUUCAGAAAUUUUGCACCAAAGUGAACUUAUCUUUU
This is an unclassified non-coding RNA of Oryctolagus cuniculus (rabbit), 287 nucleotides long. It matches the Rfam family "Metazoan signal recognition particle RNA". From Rfam's summary of the family: The signal recognition particle (SRP) is a universally conserved ribonucleoprotein. Lineage: Eukaryota; Metazoa; Chordata; Mammalia; Lagomorpha; Leporidae. The record is from Ensembl.